CCCGUUUCAUCCUCAGGCAACACUGCUAGAAAGAGGCCAUCGAUCCCCUGGCCAGCAACCACCAAAGCUGGGAACCGGAAGUGGCCACCGCCCGCGGCCUUAUAAUGCUACUCUGCACCAACACCGCCCCUGUUGCAAAGCAGCCACACUACUGCGGCAUUCACGCAUGGCCCGCAGCCGCCAUUGAUGCAAGCAGGGGAAGGUCGACACCGGGAACGCUACAGUGCGGUUGCAGCAAGGUCGGGCGGAGAGCAUCUCUGGCAAGCACGGCUGUAAGGGUAGUCGUGCGGCUCGUCGGAACGGUGCGUCGGGGCAUCUCCCUCAACUCCGGCGGAAGCAUAGACGACACUACAAUGGAGCUUCGCCGGACUCCGUCGAUGCUGCGUUGGAGCUCCGCCGGAUUUGCAAUGAAGCUUCGCCGGAGUCCGCGGUGCCACCUUGGAGCUCCGCCGGAGUUGCAAUGGAGCUUCACCGGACUCCAUCGAUACUGCGUUGGAGCUCCGCCGAACGCUGUCAGGAUGCGUUGGAGCUAUAGACACGCCGCACAGUGCUGAAGUGGAGCUUUGCCGGAGAGCCAGUAGCGCUGAGUUGGAGCUGGUCUGCUGCUGUGGCGUUGCCGCAUCGAACGGCCACCAGCAUGUUCAUCCGACGGCUGGCUAGGCGGUCGGAUGAUUUGUAGCAUCCGCCAUUUUCUUACGAAGAAAGUUCUACUCCCAUGCAUACACGUUAGGUCACGUUAUAUUUUUUAAAAUAUCAGAACUGCACGUAAUCCCUUUUUUUUGAAUCAGACGCUAAUUCUUAUUAUAGGAUGGAGCCGCAUGUACAGGCUAAGGAUAGCUGUGGUUUUUCUUCUUCUUUUAGAGAUGAAUUUUAUAUUUAUAUAUAUAUAUAAUAUAUAAUAUAUAUAUAUAGGAUUUUGGAUGCAUUUAAGUAAUUAUUAAUAACAUUUUUUAGAUGCAAAUAUUAUUUAUCAUUGCUAUGAUAUUUAUAUUAAGGGGCCUCAAAUUUUACUUUCGCCCCGGGCCCCCAAAAUCUCGGGACCGGCCCUGUCCUUACCAAACGGUUGCACACUUCGAUAUAGAUGAGAAUAUCUCCGAGGGAAAGCACAUAGCAAGAUACAUGCUUACCUACGGGACGGAUCCUUUGUGUGUGUGAUGAACUGAUGACACGAGGAAUCUACUAUAUCACUAAGCUCCGGGGUGGAAACGCUCAGCUUCGAUUCAGCCCAAUCGAUUACCGUGGUGGAUCGAUUUUGACUAGUCUCCCAAGGCAUCCGAAUUUGGGCCGUCCUUUGCUGCCUAAAAUGAUCUCAGUCGUCCACAACGCCCACGGUAGAAAACCUAACCGUCUCUCCUGUCGUACUCGCUCCCUCCGAUUUUCAGCCCCUACUCGGUCUCCUGCACGGCCGACCUCCUCCUCUUCCCGUAGCCCUCAUCCCCGCCUCUCUCAUGCCGCUGCUGCCCUCCGCCUACCCCAUCCCAUGUUCCUCUCCAUUGCGCGUGGCGACUGGACGGCCCCCACCUCCUUCACCAAGGCAACGACAGGAGGAGCGGCGCCAUCUCCACUGACGGCUGCCACGUCGUGAUGGACAUCAUCGUUCCUCUGCUGCAAGCCCACUGCCAACCCUCCACCUCCUCCACAUCCCACUCGCUCGAUGUUGCAAGAGCAAUUGGAGGUCGCGAGGAGAUGAAGCAGCUUGAGGAUAAAUUGGUGAAAAUAUCUAGAAUAUUUUGCCUUUGUCUUAUUUGUGAAGUGGGCUAUGCAUGGGUAUGUUGAUUAGGUAUGUUUUGUUCUAUAUUGUUUUGUUAUAGGUUUGACAUCUGGCAUUCUGUCGGAAAUUAGGUAUGUUGAUUGUCUUUAACUAACUGGGCUAUGCAUGGGUAUGAAUUAGUAUCACACAACACAAAGCAUGCUCAUGCCCUUUAGCAUGGUGGGGUGGUUACAAUUUUUGCAUUGAAUUACCUUCCGCGCAGGCUUGUACAGUUGAUGGAAUUCAUAUGUUUGAUACGAGCAGUGUAGGGAUGUUGCAAUUUUUCAGUUCCUCGCCUUGUAUUAUUUGAAAAUAGUUGGCUCCUAUCGGUGCAUUUAGCAAUAUAAAUAUUAAUUGCUUGAUUUAUUUCUCUUUCUGUUGAUGGUUUACUUUUGUAGCACGGCGAAGAAAUGUGUGUCUGCACUAUGCAACAUGUAAUUUUGAAUUGCGUUUUCCCAUAUGGAUGCUCUGUUUUAUCAACAUUGCACAGUUUGUUCUUGGUUUCAGCUUGACUUUGUAGUAACUGUAUCAACACUACUUGGUAUUACUUUUCCUUUUGGAUGGUGUGUAAACUUAACAUGUUGCUUAUUUGAUGGGCCUGAGUUGUGUCUAGCAUUGGACAUGUAAACUCAUAAUUGUAUGCUUUGAGUGCUAGGAUAUGGGAUAAUCAAAAGAUGGGUAUCAAUGCAUGCACGCCGUAGGAUGAACAAGAACUGGGGAUAUAUAUAAUUAUUCAUACUGCAAGAAUAAUUAUGCAAGACAAGACUGUUCAUCCAAGUUAAAAUAUUGGGUCAUGCAGGAAGACUAAUAUAUUCAACAAUGCAUGGAUGACUCAUACAACGGUGCAUGCAAGAGUUGGAAUUAAAUAUCAUGGAAAGAGCUCCAAUGGAGACAAGAGCUUCAGUCUGGACAAGAUCAUCUGUCAAGACAAGGUUUUCAGUCUAGACAAAAUCAUCUGUCAAGACAAAGAUUUUAGUCUGGACAAAAUCAUCUGUCAGGACAAAGAUUUCAGUCUGGACAAAACCAUUUGUCAAGACAAAGUCAUGCAUUGGAAUCAUGCAUGGCUAUGCAAACAUAGAUGCUUGACUGUGCAAACUACAAGGCACAUAAAAUAGGGGGCUGUUUCAUCAGCUCACACAAAGGAACAUGCAAGACGUAGAAGUUGUUCCAAGGCAGGCUGUAGUACACCAGCUAGAGAGGAAUAAAGUCACUGACCACAAGGUGCCCCUCGUGCGCUAUAAAAGGGGGAGGACUGAGCGCUGCGAAAGAAACACAUAACACCAGACUCCAGAGCAUCGCAACAUUCUAGCGUCACAACCCUCACACUCCUCAGUAGCCGUAGUAUUAGUAGCUAGCUCCAGUUGUAAUAAAGCCUUUGAGGCAUUGAAUCUCCCCGUGGUGGAGGUAGGCAGAAGGUAGUCCUGUUUUCUCUUUGUAAUCCCUUCGGCGUCUCCCGGAAGGGAAAUCCGUAUGUAAAUUAUGUUGUCGAAAUGAAGUAGUUUUGUGUUUAA
Long non-coding RNA from Aegilops tauschii subsp. strangulata, 3261 nucleotides. RefSeq lists it as uncharacterized. The record is from RefSeq and is a predicted model, not a curated record. NCBI's taxonomy places the organism in Eukaryota, Viridiplantae, Streptophyta, Magnoliopsida, Poales, Poaceae.